Molecule: long non-coding RNA, 385 nt
Organism: Mesocricetus auratus (golden hamster)
Lineage: Eukaryota; Metazoa; Chordata; Mammalia; Rodentia; Cricetidae
Exons: 3
Source: RefSeq, a predicted model, not a curated record
CUGAAGGCAGGUGUGCUUUGGAUAUCAAAAGGCUCUUUGGAAGACUGACCUCUUCUGCUCCUUGGUAUGACAUGCCUGGAGGGACCAAGGACAGAGGACAGCAGAGUUAGCAGGGAUUCCAGGAUGGUCCAACUCACCAGCCUGCCCUCUGAAGGAGUUGACAGGAACUUCAAAGCCCUGACUGGAAGUCAGGGACUAAAGAGCAAAUUCCUGGGAACAAGUCCAAGGCGGAGAACCCCAGCCGGAAGUGCUGCUGGUUGGAACUGAGAAGGUCUUGCUUCUCAGGAAAUCUGCCUACAAUGAGGUGGGACAGCUGACCACAGGCCACCUACCACCACAUCCACGGGGAUAAAAUAAACUCAGUCCAGCCUGGCAAAGUUCUGAC